GAGUACGCCAUUUUUAAUUUUUGGUACUUUUCAAAAAUCCUACCCGUUCGGUCGGAAUCAUGUCAGCAUUUGGGGCACUUUUUUUAGACACCUCCGAAGACAGCACAUAACUCUGUUAUUUUUAAACUUUUUGUAAAAAAAAGAUCUUUAAAUAUACCUGAAAAUAUGCCUUAUUAAGUUUAAAGAACUUCGAAACAUAUAAAAAGUGUAAAUAAAAAUAAAAAGUUCCAAAUGCACUUUAUUUGAAGUCAAUAUCUUUAAAACUUAUCAUUUUAUGCGGAAUCUAGCUGGAUAACUUUUUUUUCACUUUUUUAGCUAUGUUGCAAUGAAUACAAACUUAAUUUCAAUUUAAGUAUAUAAAUUAAUUUUUUAGCACAUCAUUUUAUAAAUUUAACAAUAAAAUACUACAAUAUACUAAAAGACGUAUACGUUUUAGCAAUUUAUAAGUUUAAACGAUUUUAAUAGAUAAUACAAAUGAGGGUCGAUAAGACCCAUGGUUAGUAACCAUGCGACAUGAUUUGAGGUUAGUAAUGCAGGGUUAAUUGUUGACAGCUGCUUUGCUUGCACGUGUUUUGGAUCGUCUUCGAUUUUUACCUAUCAAAAAAAUUGCACCACGAUAACGCCCCUGCUCACACAUCGUUGCUUGUGCGCGACUUUUUGGCCAAAAACAACACACUAAUGAUGCCGCAGCCACCGUAUUCCCCAGAUCUGGCCCCCUGUUACUUUUUCUUGUUCCCUAAACUGAAGAGGCUCAUGAAAGGACGACGUUACGCUUCUCUUGACGAGAUAAAGACGGCAUCGAAGGAGGAGCUGAAGAAAAAAAAAAUGAUUUUUUGAAGUGCUUCGAAGAUUAGAAAAACCGUUGGCCCUCUGUGACUUUUUCUUGUUCCCUAAACUGAAGAGGCCCAUGAAAGGACGACGUUACGCUUCUCUUGACGAGAUAAAGACGGCAUCGAAGGAGGAGCUGAAGAAGAUAAAAAAAAAAUGAUUUUUUGAAGUGCUUCGAAGAUUGGAAAAACCGUUGGCACAAGUGUAUAAUAUCUCAUGGGGAUUACUUUGAAGGGGACAAAAUAGAUAUCUUUAUAUAUAUAAAUCUUCUGACCGUUUGUUUGCGUUUGAACUGCUCCUAAAUGGAUGGACCGAUUUUGAUGAAAUUUUGUGUGUAUGUUCAAGGAGAUUCGAGGACGGUUUAGAUUUACAAUUUGGUCGACUGGAAAAUGUUUUUUAAAUUAUUUUUUCAUUUUUAAUCAAUUGUUAAUUUUGGAAUGUUUGACCGAUAGAUGGCGCUACCAUCGCAGUAUCCAAUAUUCAAACCUUAGAUUGGCGUAAAAGUGCAUUAAAGAAAACGAUGCCAAAGUAAAAGGCGACAUCUAUGGAUCAAGUUUUUAUAUUGUGGACAGAGUUGUUCGUUCUUAAGUAAUAAAUUGGGUGAUUCAAUACAUCUAUGAGUCGCUAUAACAUUUUUUUCAUACCUGCUAACUAUUGGAGGGGGUAUCUUGACUGGCAAUUUAAAAUGCAAAAGGUCUGGCAUAAAAAAAUAGCGGCAUAACUGAAGUGUUGAUAAAAAAUUUGAGAUAUACAGAAAUCUUUUCGAAGCAUUGCACAGAGCAAUGCAAUAUUUAAACGGGAACGAUGAAUACAUAUGUGUAUGCGUACAAUUUCAAACUGAUCCUUCCUGAAAAAUAAUAAAAUUGCUAAAUAUUGGGAAUGGUAGAAUAGAACUGCAAUCAAAUACACAAUGCAAUGAAUUAAAACUGGCUCAUUUAUCAUUCGAUGAAUAAUAUACCGCGGGCAUCCCAAAAGACUGAUGCCAUAACCUUGCCAGCCGAUUUUUUUGUCUUUUCACGCUUGAGAACCGUUUCUUAAUAUGCAGUGCAUAUGCGAUUGGACUCGAUUGAUUUCACUGAUGCACAGCCCAAAUUCAAUAGUAUUUUUACCCCAAAAACCAAUUUUUUCUUAACGCACGAAAUGCUUUUUGAUUCAUUUUUGUUGCUUCAUCAAAAAUGCGAUUAUUCCUUAACUAAUACUUAUAAUCUAACUAAUAGAAAUCAUAUAGAUGGUAUUAGUAGUACUAUCUAUGUAGCAGCCACAGUAAAACGUAAGCGGGUCCUCUAGUUCAUGAAUAAAUAAAUAAUUUUUGAAAAAACACAAAAUUCGCGAUACUUUUUGAACACACCUCGUAUAGCAUAUAUACAUGCAUAUGAAAUUAUAUAAUAUUAUCAUAGAUAAGAUAUAUUUAAAAAGUAGCUCAUUUGCCCAUUAACUACAGAUUUUGCUUGGAGAAUUGCAUAAUUUAAUAAUAAUGUUAUAAAUUUUGCAUGAAUUCACAAAAAGUAGCAAAAUGAAAUUCUAAUCAAUUGAUAUGAUAGCAUGUAAACGUUUAAAAAUAUAAGCAAAGGAGCAAUAAUGUACGUUUGUAAUAGUAAUGUAUAUUUCUGAACAUAAUUUUCAUUGAAUGCUCAGCUCUGUUCACUUAUCACUGUUAAAAUUUCUCUUCCGAGCUCAAAGUGGUGAAAUCCACAAUAGGACUUUGUUAGCUCUUGACAGUUCACACGCUUGUUCACAAUUGAACCUUCUCUAUUAUUUUAAGUUCUCUGGCUGUCCAAAAGGCGCUAUCCUAGCUGCAAAUAAAACAUAAUCGAUUUAUUCGAAUAUUUCUUAAGUAAUAUCUUUUUUAAUGCAAAUAAAAUGCAAGAAAAAGUUUCUUGUAAGAAAACAAUAAUGUUACUAUCACAUCAAAAUUAUAUUUAAAGCAUUUUUCGUUCUCAUUGAAAAAUAAUAUUCACGAUACUUGUUGAAAGGGAAUUCAACAUUUAUAAAGAUUCCUGAAAUUAAUUGCAAGGAACAGUUCAUAUGAUUUGUCAAUAGUGUUAAAAUUUUAUCCUGGCAAAUAUUUACUUGAGGUACUGGAUAUAGGGCAUAAGAAUGGCUCCUCUAUUUUGCCCAACUGACUCCAUCGAUUUCUGGAGAUAUGAGAUGCCAGAACGAAGUUGUGUUAGUUACACCAUUUAUAACUCGAGAACGGCUGAACCGAUUUGGCUGAAAAUUGGUGGAGAGGUAGUUUAGAACCAGGGUACGGACAUAGAAUACUUUUUAUCUCUUUAUGUUAAAAUUUAAUACAACUCAUAAAUACAAAAAUUGUAUUUCAAAUAAUAAGCAUAUGUUCAAAAUUCAUGUUUGUAGGAAUCAUUUGAAUAUACAUAUGUUCGUACAUUUUUAAACAGAUUCUUCCUCAAAAAUAAUCGUUGAGUAUGUAUUAUACAACGUGCAUCCCAAAAGACUAAUGCCAUAACCUUUCCAGCCGACUUUUUCGUCUUUCCACGCCUGAGAACCGGUUCAUCAUGGAGUUCACUAGAAUGACUGUCGAUUGAACUUCAGUAGGAAAUGAUGGAGCUAUGUUUCUAUUGUCACACACCGACGCAAAAAUUCGGUUUUAUUAUCAGAAUCAGUUAACCGUUGUUUUUUUUUUGGAUUAUGAACUUGCGAGGCCCCACUUUGCUCAAAAAUUAUUUAUUUAUUCAUGAAUAUCUAUUUUGUCCCCUUCAAAGUAAUCCCCAUGAGAUAUUAUACACUUGUGCCAACGGUUUUUCCAAUCUUCGAAGCACUUCAAAAAAUCAUUUUUUUUUUUAUCUUCUUCAUCUCCUCCUUCGAUGCCGUCUUUAUCUCGUCAAGAGAAGCGUAACGUCGUCCUUUCAUGGGCCUCUUCAGUUUAGGGAACAAGAAAAAGUCACAGGGGGCCAGAUCUGGGGAAUACGUUUUGGCCAAAAAGUCGCGCACAAGCAACGAUGUGUGAGCAGGGGCGUUAUCGUGGUGCAAUUUUUUUGAUAGGUAAAAAUCGAAGACGAUCCAAAACACGUGCAAGCAAAGCAGCUGUCAACAAUUAAAAGGACAUUCAAAAUGGCCGAGCUUGUCGGCAUAAGUUAGAAACAUGAGUACCAACAUAACGCCACAAAAAAUUCGAAAUUCGAAUAUACGUAACCCGCGAAAAUUCAAAAUUCGCGAUACUUUUUGAACACACCUCGUAUAGUGAUCCCAGUUGAUUCAGUGUCGGGAAAAGGAAUAAAGAUCGGUUCGCUUAUUUUAAAUCAUCAUGACAGUUUUAAAUAAAUAAUAAAAAAUAAUCAAUUUUGAUAUUGUAAAAUUUUAUAUCUCUUUUUUUAUUCUUUUAACCACCGAUUCUUUUGAAACUUUGAACACUAUUUCUGUACAUAAUUUACAGGUAACGCCGGGGAGUUGUUUUUUUAAUUUAAUAAUAGUUUUUAUAUUACAAAAGUGUUCUAAAUAAUAUAAAAUAUUUUGAAAAAACUACCUGGCGGUUUCCUGGGAAAAACUGUUAUCUAAAGAACGAAGCUUUAUUUCGUGAUAUCGUAAGAUCCUACACCAAAAAUUUUUUUGUGAUAAAAAUGUUCCCUUGUGUCAAAAAUUAAUACUAUACUUCCCUGAGAGAUCAUCAGUUUCUGGCAAUAAUAUGUCGUGAUGUCAAAAAUAGAUAAAAUCAGGUCAGUAUAACCCCCAGUCCGGUCCAGUCCCAAUUUUGUUGUUGUGUAAUUUACUAUAAAUUUUGACGUCGGCCAUAUUGAUUUCUAAUGUUAUUUGAGACGAUUGUUGUUUUUGCAGAACAAUAUUUAUAAUUUUUGCGGGUGACAUAUCCACACGUGCUUUCGACAGCACGAAAAGGAGCUGCCUUUAUGCCGCGAUGUCUGAAUUUGGUAUCCCCGCAAAACUAAUACGGCUGUGUAAACUGACGUUGAGCAGCACCAAAAGCUCCGUCAGGAUCGGGAAGGACCUCUCCGAGCCGUUCAAUACCAAACGAGGUUUCUGACAAGGCGACUCCCUAUCGUGCGACUUCUUCAAUCUGCUGCUGGAGAAAAUUAUUCGAGCCGCAGAACUUAAUCGAGCAGGUACAAUCUUUUAUAAGAGUGUACAGCUGCCGGCGUAUGCUGAUGAUAUUGAUAUCAUCGGCCACAACAUCCGCGCCGUUAGUUCUGCUUUCUCCAGACUGAACAAGGAAGCAACGCAAAUGGGUCAGGCAGUGAACGAAGGCAAGACGAAAUAUCUCCUGUCAUCAAACAAACAGUCGUCGCACUCGCGACUUGGCUCUCACGUCACUGUUGACAGUCAUAACUUUGAAGUUGUAGAUAAAUUCGUCUCUUUAGGAACCAGCAUUAACACCACACACAAUGUCAGCCUGGAAAUCGAACGCAGGAUUACUCCUGCCAACAGGUGCUACUUCGGACUGAGUAGGCAAUUGAGAAGCAAAGUCCUCUCUCGACGAACAAAAGCCAAACUCUAUAAGUAGCUCAUAAUUCCCGUCCUGCUGUAUGAUGCAGAGGCUUGGACGAUGACAACAACCGAUGAGUCGACGUUACGAGUUUUCGAGAGAAAGGUUCUGCGAAAGAUUUAUGGUCCUUUGCGCAUUGGCCACGCAUUCGAUGGAACGAUGAGCUGUACGAGAUAUACGACGACAUUGACAUAGUUCAGCGAAUUAAAAGACAGCGGCUACGCUGGCUAGGCCAUGUUGUACGGAUGGAUGAAAACACUCCAGCUCUGAAAGUAUUCGACGCAGUACCCGCCGCGGGAAGCAGAGGAAGAGGAAGACCUCCACUCCGUUGGAAGGACCAAGUGGAGAAGGACCUGGCUUCGCUUGGAAUAUCCAAUUGGCGCCACGUAGCGAAGAAAAGAAACGACUGGCGCGCUGUUGUUGACUCGGCUAUAAUCGCGUAAGCGGUGUCUACGCCAGUAAAGAAGAAGAAGACAUAUCCACAAGUGAACGCAUAUAAGUACAUACAUAUGUUGGUUGUGUAUGCAUUGUUUGUAUGGGAAUGUCAUUCGCACAUAUGUAUGUAUUUACAAGAGUACGCAUAUAAAUAUGUUUUUUUUGUUUUUUUUUAUUGAAACCUAAUGAUAUUUGUUAUUUUCUGAGAUUCUUAAUAGAUCAUGAAACGUUGUUCUUUUCAGUCUGUGUCUGCUAUUUCUAGUCUCUCCUAGUUGUCUUGCUUUUAAAUUAAAACACUCAACAUUAAUUACGAUUGCAAAUUAUUAUAUAUUGGACUUU
Molecule: long non-coding RNA, 6055 nt
Organism: Bactrocera dorsalis (oriental fruit fly)
Lineage: Eukaryota; Metazoa; Arthropoda; Insecta; Diptera; Tephritidae
Exons: 3
Source: RefSeq, a predicted model, not a curated record